RNAcentral lists this ribosomal RNA (1251 nucleotides) under Amycolatopsis regifaucium. RNAcentral describes it as "bacterial LSU rRNA". It matches the Rfam family "Bacterial large subunit ribosomal RNA", at positions 1 to 1190 of the family's 2925-position model. Lineage: Bacteria; Bacillati; Actinomycetota; Actinomycetes; Pseudonocardiales; Pseudonocardiaceae. The record is from RNAcentral.
GUGGUCAAGUUGUUAAGGGCACAUGGUGGAUGUCUUGGCUUCAGGAGCCGAUGAAGGACGUGGGAGGCUGCGAUAUGCCUCGGGGAGCUGUCAACCGAGCUGUGAUCCGAGGAUUUCCGAAUGGGGAAACCCAGCACCAGUUAUGUGGUGUUACCCGCAUCUGAAUAUAUAGGGUGUGUGGAGGGAACGCGGGGAAGUGAAACAUCUCAGUACCCGUAGGAAGAGAAAACAACCGUGAUUCCGUGAGUAGUGGCGAGCGAAAGCGGAAGAGGCUAAACCAUGCACAUGUCAAGCUGUCAGGCGUUGUGUGUGUGGUGUUGUGGGACCCAGCGUCGAGGAUCUGACAGUCCUCGGAAUGAUCGCGCGUGUUAGUGGAACCAUCUGGGAUGGUGGACCGGAGUGGGUGAGAGUCCCGUACGCGAAAACACGUUGUGGAUUGUUUGUUUGGUGUUCCCGAGUAGCAGCGAGCUCGUGGAAUUUGCUGUGAAUCUGCCGGGACCACCCGGUAAGCCUAAAUACUUCCUGAAGACCGAUAGCGGACUAGUACCGUGAGGGAAAGAUGAAAAGUACCCCGGGAGGGGAGUGAAAGAGUACCUGAAACCGUGUGCCUACAAGCCGUCAGAGCCCGAGCAACAUCUUUGAUGUUUACGGUGAUGGCGUGCCUUUUGAAGAAUGAGCCUGCGAGUUAGUGCUGCGUGGCGAGGUUAACCCGUGUGGGGUAGCCGUAGCGAAAGCGAGUCUGAAUAGGGCGUCUCCAGUCGCGUGGUCUAGACCCGAAGCGGAGUGAUCUACCCAUGGCCAGGCUGAAGCGUCGGUAAGACGACGUGGAGGGCCGAACCCACUUAGGUUGAAAACUGAGGGGAUGAGCUGUGGGUAGGGGUGAAAGGCCAAUCAAACUCCGUGAUAGCUGGUUCUCCCCGAAAUGCAUUUAGGUGCAGCGUCACAUGUUUCACCACGGGGGUAGAGCUACUGGAUGGUCUAGGGGCCUUACCGGGUUACCGAAAUCAACCAAACUCCGAAUACCGUGGUGUGAGAGUGUGGCAGUGAGACGGCGGGGGAUAAGCUUCGUCGUCGAGAGGGAAACAGCCCAGAACACCAGCUAAGGCCCCCAAGUGUGUGCUCAGUGGGAAAGGAUGUGGGAUUGCCCAGACAACCAGGAGGUUGGCUUAGAAGCAGCCACCCUUGAAAGAGUGCGUAAUAGCUCACUGGUCAAGUGGUCCUGCGCCGACAAUGUAGCGGGGCUUAAGCACA